CCUACGGGGUGCUGCAGUGGGGAAUAUUGGACAAUGGGCGAAAGCCUGAUCCAGCCAUGCCGCGUGUGUGAAGAAGGCCUUCGGGUUGUAAAGCACUUUCAGUGGGGAAGAAAGCCUUGGGGCUAAUACCCUCGAGGAAGGACAUCACCCACAGAAGAAGCACCGGCUAACUCCGUGCCAGCAGCCGCGGUAAUACGGAGGGUGCGAGCGUUAAUCGGAAUUACUGGGCGUAAAGCGCGCGUAGGCGGUCUGAUAAGCCGGUUGUGAAAGCCCCGGGCUCAACCUGGGAACGGCAUCCGGAACUGUCAGGCUAGAGUGCAGGAGAGGAAGGUAGAAUUCCCGGUGUAGCGGUGAAAUGCGUAGAGAUCGGGAGGAAUACCAGUGGCGAAGGCGGCCUUCUGGACUGACACUGACGCUGAGGUGCGAAAGCGUAGGUAGCAAACAGGAUUAGAUACCCCGGUAGUC
Molecule: ribosomal RNA, 465 nt
Filed under: Vreelandella stevensii
Lineage: Bacteria; Pseudomonadati; Pseudomonadota; Gammaproteobacteria; Oceanospirillales; Halomonadaceae
Description: partial 16S ribosomal RNA
Rfam family: Bacterial small subunit ribosomal RNA
Source: RNAcentral